GCUGGUUUAGCUCCAAUGGUUGGAGCGCCUGCCUAAGAAGGGAGUUGGCGGUUAAGUUCCGUCAAUCAGCACCA
RNAcentral lists this transfer RNA (74 nucleotides) under Salmonella enterica. Its description in RNAcentral is "tRNA-OTHER". Lineage: Bacteria; Pseudomonadati; Pseudomonadota; Gammaproteobacteria; Enterobacterales; Enterobacteriaceae. RNAcentral also lists the same sequence under 3 other names. The record is from RNAcentral.